CCUACGGGAGGCAGCAGUGGGGAAUUUUGGACAAUGGGGGCAACCCUGAUCCAGCCAUGCCGCGUGAGUGAAGAAGGCCUUCGGGUUGUAAAGCUCUUUCGGCCGGAACGAAAUCGCGCACGUGAAUAACGUGCGUGGAUGACGGUACCGGAGUAAGAAGCACCGGCUAACUACGUGCCAGCAGCCGCGGUAAUACGUAGGGUGCGAGCGUUAAUCGGAAUUACUGGGCGUAAAGCGUGCGCAGGCGGUUCGCUAAGUCAGACGUGAAAGCCCCGGGCUUAACCUGGGAACGGCGUUUGAAACUGGCGGGACUCGAGUACGGCAGAGGGGGGUGGAAUUCCACGUGUAGCAGUGAAAUGCGUAGAUAUGUGGAGGAACACCGAUGGCGAAGGCAGCCCCCUGGGCCGAUACUGACGCUCAUGCACGAAAGCGUGGGGAGCAAACAGGAUUAGAUACCCUGGUAGUCCACGCCCUAAACUAUGUCAACUAGUUGUCGGGGAAACNCAAUUCCGUUGGUAAACCGCGAGCUACGUACGUGUAGUGUACCGCCGUCGGGAGGUACGGUCGCGAGAAGUUAAACGUUAAACGGUAAAGUUAGUACGGUUCGUUGUAGACGUUGCCGACGGACGACGACGAGGGAGGAGG
RNAcentral lists this ribosomal RNA (645 nucleotides) under uncultured bacterium. RNAcentral's name for it is "bacterial SSU rRNA". The stretch from base 1 to 550 matches the Rfam family "Bacterial small subunit ribosomal RNA", at positions 338 to 873 of the family's 1533-position model. The record is from RNAcentral.